RNAcentral lists this ribosomal RNA (205 nucleotides) under uncultured bacterium. RNAcentral's name for it is "partial 16S ribosomal RNA". It matches the Rfam family "Bacterial small subunit ribosomal RNA", at positions 568 to 772 of the family's 1533-position model. The record is from RNAcentral.
CUCGUAGGCGGCCAACUAAGUCAUACGUGAAAUCCCUCGGCUUAACCGGGGAACUGCGUCUGAUACUGGAUGGCUUGAGAUUGGGAGAGGGAUGCGGAAUUCCAGGUGUAGCGGUGAAAUGCGUAGAUAUCUGGAGGAACACCGGUGGCGAAGGCGGCAUCCUGGACCAACACUGACGCUGAGGAGCGAAAGCCAGGGGAGCAAC